CAAAUAAGGGAAUAAAAGCUGGCCACCAGAGACAGCAGCAGUAAUCCACUGGGGUACGCUUCCGCGCUGUGGAGAGUAUGUUCUUUUGCUCUUCACAGUAAAUCUUGCUAAUGCUCACUUUUUGGGUCCACACUACUUUUAUGAACUGUAACACUCACUGCGAAGGUCUUUAGCUUAACUCCUGAAGCCAGCAAGACCACGAAUCCUCUGGGAGGCAUGAACAACUCCUGACCCGCCACCUUAAAGAGCUGUAACACUCACUGUGAAGGUCUGCGGCUUCACUCCUGAAGUCAGCGAGACCACGAACGCACCAGAAGGAAGAAACUCCCCACACAUGUGAACAUCUGAAGGAACAAACUCCCGACACUCCAUCUUCAAGAACUGUAACACUCACCGUGAGGGUCUGCAGCUUCAUUCUUGAAGUCAGCAAGACCAAGAACCCACCAGAAGAAACCAAUUCCGGCCACAGUGUCUCCUUGGCUUACUGUGGAAAAACUCAAGGGGAGAUUAUUCUCUGAAAAAUCUUACCAGAGAAAAGAAAAUCAGACAAAUGAUGUGCUCUCAUUUAUUCUUCACUUUAAUCCUAAAGAGGUGAAAAUCUGACAGCUCAAAAUGAAGCAAAAACCCAAGAUUAAAACAGACACCAUUUUGUGCCCACUCAGUCUUCUUUCCAGGGUCAUACAUGUGUUUAUAACCGCACUUCUACAUUCUAUUAUGAGGGCAAGAGUUGUGGCUGCUAUAUAAAUGCUUCCUAGCAUAGUUCCUGACAACUAGGUGAUUCAUGAAUAUUUGCUGAAGAAAUAAAAAUAACUUUAUGAACAUCGUUA
Molecule: long non-coding RNA, 827 nt
Filed under: Homo sapiens (human)
Lineage: Eukaryota; Metazoa; Chordata; Mammalia; Primates; Hominidae
Description: HSALNT0376151
Source: RNAcentral